GACAGAGGUCUCAAGCGUUAGGCGGAAUCACUGGGCUUAAAGCGUGUGUAGGCGGACUUCUAAGUGCCUUGUGAAAUCCCACGGCUCAACCGUGGAACUGCUGGGCAUACUGGUUGUCUUGGGCCAUCUAGGGGCUACUGGAACAAACGGUGGAGCGGUGAAAUGCGUAGAUAUCGUUUGGAACGCCAAUGGUGAAAACAAGUAGCUGGGGAUGUGCCGACGCUGAGACACGAAAGCCAGGGGGAGCGAACGGGG
Molecule: ribosomal RNA, 255 nt
Filed under: uncultured bacterium
Lineage: Bacteria
Description: partial 16S ribosomal RNA
Rfam family: Bacterial small subunit ribosomal RNA
Source: RNAcentral